RNAcentral lists this ribosomal RNA (465 nucleotides) under uncultured bacterium. Its description in RNAcentral is "partial 16S ribosomal RNA". It matches the Rfam family "Bacterial small subunit ribosomal RNA", at positions 28 to 507 of the family's 1533-position model. The record is from RNAcentral.
GACGAACGCUGGCGGCGUGCUUAACACAUGCAAGUCGAACGGAAAGGCCCCUUUGGGGGUCCUCGAGUGGCGAACGGGUGAGUAACACGUGAGUAACCUGCCCUUGACUUCGGGAUAACUUCAGGAAACUGGGGCUAAUACCGGAUAGGAAUCCUUGCUGCAUGGUGGGGGUUGGAAAGCUUCGGCGGUUUUGGAUGGACUCGCGGCUUAUCAGCUUGUUGGUGGGGUAGUGGCUUACCAAGGCUUUGACGGGUAGCCGGCCUGAGAGGGCGACCGGCCACAUUGGGACUGAGAUACGGCCCAGCCGCCUACGGGAGGCAGCAGUGGGGAAUCUUGCACAAUGGGCGGAAGCCUGAUGCAGCAACGCCGCGUGCGGGAUGACGGCCUUCGGGUUGUAAACCGCUUUCAGCAGGGGCGAAGCUUGUGGUGACGGUACCUGCAGAAGAAGCACCGGCUAACUACGUG